Equus caballus (horse) is the source of this 1552-nucleotide non-coding RNA. The record is from RefSeq and is a predicted model, not a curated record. NCBI's taxonomy places the organism in Eukaryota, Metazoa, Chordata, Mammalia, Perissodactyla, Equidae.
AUCCUGCUGUCGUUGCCCCUCCUUCCACCCUCCAACCCUGUCAUAAAUCACCCUCCCACUCUCAGUGCUACCACGGACUGACAGGCUCCCUGAGGACCAGCUGCUGCCUGGUACCUGUGGUCACCUGAACUCUCUUCAGCCCCACAUGUGAGCACCUGCUGCAGAGGUGUAGGACACCUGUGCCAGACCUUCCCAAGCCUUGCCAGUGCCACCAACACCUCCAUGCUGUGCGUCCCAAAGUGGGCUACGUGUACUGGGCGUGAUAUGCAACAUGAACUAAGGGAGCUCUUCUGGGUCCAAGAAGUGGAAGCAGUCUUUGUCCCAGUGCAGUCUCUUGCUGGUGAAUGAGGUGCUGCUGUUUGUCUAAAGAAAAGUACAGAAUGCGAUGCUGCGGGACCAAACUGAGCUGUGGGUGUGUUGCUAGAUCUUUGUGUGCCCUUGACUCAAUGGGCUAUAAACACUUCAUUUUUCCAGCACUGUCUGAGAACGAAAUUCUCCACACUGCGAAUUCCCCAGAAUAAGCCCAGAAGUUUGGGGCAUCCUUGCUGAGAGCAGCUCUGCAUCCUUGUGCGCGUGGAGAUCCAAGACAAUUCAUUCUGUUUCAGGGAAGCCAAUCCUUCAUCGGGCCUGACUCGGGCAGGGAAAGGAUGGCAAGGAGAAGAGCGCCUGGCACAUAGCAGACAUUCAGUGAGGAUCUGUUCAGUGACUGAAGCUCCAGUGUCGAGGCUGAGCAGUUGGUAGCGACUGUCCGGCAUGGGAUGCUGAGAAAGAUCCUGAGGCUAGGCUCUGUGGGAAACGCUGUAAUUUAGGAUUGAUCUGCCGCGGGCGCAGGUGAGCGAGUGGAGAGAAGCACAAUGUACACAUGAGUCUUGUGGAAAGUGAGAACAGAAUCUGAGCUUGAAGACAUUGAAGUGGCCGUAAAUUGCAGAUGGGCACCAGAGAAGAGUGGGUGCCUCCAGCCCUGGAGGACCUGACACCAGGGGACUCUGCUGAGCUCAGACCUGGGCAGACUAGCAGACAGGAUACCCCCAGGCUCAACCCGAGGUAAUCAGAAUGGCGGCAGCCUCCACAGCCUCCACAGCAGCUAUGCUGCCUGGGCCUGCAUUUGGCUGAGCAGGAAGCAAUCCCUCCAUAAGUGACCCAGCACUGCCCCCUGGUGUAAACCCAUCCAAUGCACAUUGGCCCGAAGGAUUCCUUGGGGAGCCUCUUUUAUUUACAACUUCUCAGCAGAUGCCGUCAGCAUUUGGGCUUUGGGACUAAUUUCAGUAAUCUACAUGAAGCCAAUGCUGCUGUGAUGUGCGCAUAAUAGGCAGGAAGAAUAAUGUCCUUCCUGCCCCUGUCUGGUUGCACCCAUUCAGUCAGCCUUUAAGAACCACCACUCAGUAAACACUUAAUAUGUGACAGGCAGUUUGCGUGGCCCUCUGUUUGUGUCCCACUGUUAAUCUCUAGGAAAGGUGCUAUAAUUAUUUGCAUGUUGCUGAUGAAGAAACUGAGGCUCAGAGAGGACGUUUCACUUUUUUUUUUUUUGAGGAAGAUUAGCCCUGAGCUAACU